AAACAGGUAAACACUAAUAAUUUGCCGAGUUCCUUAACUCAAUUCACUUUUUU
This 53-nucleotide transfer RNA is filed under the name Aposthonia borneensis. Its description in RNAcentral is "tRNA-Leu". Lineage: Eukaryota; Metazoa; Arthropoda; Insecta; Embioptera; Oligotomidae. The record is from RNAcentral.